GCAUAUCAAUAAGCGGAGGAAAAGAAACCAACAGGGAUUGCCCUAGUAACGGCGAAGUGAAGCGGCAACAGCUCAAAUUUGAAAUCUGGCUCCGGCCCGAGUUGUAAUUUGCAGAGGAAGCUUCUGGUGAUGUACCGUCUAAGUCCCCUGGAACGGGGCGCCACAGUGGGUGAGAGCCCCAUUUGACGGAUGCAGAUCCUGUGUGAAGCUCCUUCGACGAGUCGAGUAGUUUGGGAAUGCUGCUCAAAAUGGGAGGUAAAUUCCUUCUAAAGCUAAAUAUUGGCCAGAGACCGAUAGCGCACAAGUAGAGUGAUCGAAAGAUGAAAAGCACUUUGAAAAGAGGGUUAAACAGCACGUGAAAUUGUUGAAAGGGAAGCGCUUGUGACCAGACUUGCGCUGGGCUGAUCAUCCGGUGUUCUCACCGGUGCACUCGGCCCAGCUCAGGCCAGCAUCGGUUUUGGUGGGGGGAUAAAGGCGCCGGGAACGUAGCUCCUUCUGGAGUGUUAUAGCCCAGCGUGCAAUGCCCCCGCUGGGACCGAGGUUCGCGCAUCUGCAAGGAUGCUGGCGUAAUGGUCAUCAGCGACCCGUCUUGAAACACGGACCAAGGAGUCAAGGUUUUGCGCGAGUGUUUGGGUGUCAAACCCGCACGCGUAAUGAAAGUGAACGUAGGUGAGAGCUUCGGCGCAUCAUCGACCGAUCCUGAUGUAUUCGGAUGGAUUUGAGUAGGAGCGUUAAGCCUUGGACCCGAAAGAUGGUGAACUAUGCUUGGAUAGGGUGAAGCCAGAGGAAACUCUGGUGGAGGCUCGCAGCGGUUCUGACGUGCAAAUCGAUCGUCAAAUCUGAGCAUGGGGGGCGAAAGACUAAUCGAACCAUCUAGUAGCUGGUUACCGCCGAAG
This 896-nucleotide ribosomal RNA is filed under the name Immersiella caudata. RNAcentral describes it as "partial large subunit ribosomal RNA". It matches the Rfam family "Eukaryotic large subunit ribosomal RNA", at positions 38 to 966 of the family's 3401-position model. The record is from RNAcentral. Lineage: Eukaryota; Fungi; Ascomycota; Sordariomycetes; Sordariales; Lasiosphaeriaceae.